AAAAUUAUUAUUUUUUUCAAUCACGUAUUUAUCCCUUUUGAUUCUUGAACAUUCUACUGUUUUGCCCAACGACGCUACAUUAUUCAAUAUUGGUCAUAUUUUAUGAUUUACAUAAUUACAUUUUCGUAAAUUAUAAAAAGAAGACAACUUUGGAUAUCAUUUGUUGACCCUGUCAGCCUCUGGAUCUGAUAUAGCUUCAACAAGUCGACUUUUAGUGGCUCUUGUAAGACUAUGUUUUCAAGCUAAACAAUGGGGAUUACUUAUUGAACUUAUUUUUCUGUUAAAAAAAAGAAAAUCUCAGUUGUAACUUGCGGUUGGAGCUAUGGUCACAGAAUUUUGUACGUUCAUUGACCAAAUGCCAGUCAAAAAUACAAAAUUGACGUUAAUUGAAUGUCUUAGAGUCGUUACCGAAGGAAAGGUAUCUAUGGAAUUGGAUAGAACUCGACUCACACAAAAGUUGGCUCAAAUUAAAGAAGAUUAAGGUGAUGUAACUGGUACUGAAAGUAUCAAUCAAGUAUUGCAGGUCAAGGAUUAUGAUCAGUGGCAUCUCGUGAUUUCCACCGAAAGUGGUGAACAAGAAAUUUUUAUAUAAAAUCAUAAUUAAACUCAUAAAAAAAAAAUGGGCAAUAAUGUUUCCUCAAUAUAUAAAGUGGUAAAUUUACUACCUAUGCCACCUUGGAUCUUUUUCCAAAGCGUAUCAAAUUAAUGAAUAAUUUUGGCUAGUUUCAUACCUGUAAAACGUUAUAAUAUAUUCUACUUUACUUUCAUCAAGCUUAGAUAACCACACACAUAGUAAUUUAUCGUAUGUUGCAUAAUACAGUAGGUAGUACAAUGUAAAACUUGAAAAAAUAUAAUAUAGUAAUAGUUUAUAUGGUUAUAAUAGAUUAGACCUAAUUUGAAAUUUGCCAAUAAUAACAUAAACAUGAAAUAUGAAAAUAUUGUAAAUUAACAAUUAUUGUUGAUAGUUAUAGAUUUAUUUAAAAGUAAGACUAACAAAAAUGAGUAAUCUUACACAGUAUAAUUCAAUUCAAUUUAUAAUAAAUUAUAAGAUGAUUCUCCUUCACUUGUCGUUAAUUGGGGGAUUAUUAGAAUUUUACUAGAUAUUUUACUAUAUGUUUAUUCCCUUUUUUAGCACAUUCUAUCAAAAUAUUAUUAUAUAUUAUAUUAUAUUAUAUUAUUAUUUAUUUGGUAAAUCUAAGUAUAAUAGGAGGGAAUCGUGGGUUAUUACUUAUGACUUGUAAAUAAUAAUUUAUUUGUCAUUUUGACAGAUUUAUACUGUGCACAUUUUUAAUUUACUUUUUAAC
Acyrthosiphon pisum (pea aphid) is the source of this 1304-nucleotide long non-coding RNA. RefSeq lists it as uncharacterized. The record is from RefSeq and is a predicted model, not a curated record. The transcript has 3 exons. Lineage: Eukaryota; Metazoa; Arthropoda; Insecta; Hemiptera; Aphididae.